GAUCAUGGCUCAGAUUGAACGCUGGCGGCAGGCCUAACACAUGCAAGUCGAACGGUAACAGGAGAAGCUUGCUUCUUUGCUGACGAGUGGCGGACGGGUGAGUAAUGUCUGGGAAACUGCCUGAUGGAGGGGGAUAACUACUGGAAACGGUAGCUAAUACCGCAUAACGUCGCAAGCCAAAAAGGGGGGACCUUCGGGGCCUCUUGCCAUCGGAUGUGCCCAGAUGGGAUUAGCUAGUAGGUGGGGUAACGGCUCACCUAGGCGACGAUCCCUAGCUGGUCUGAGAGGAUGACCAGCCACACUGGAACUGAGACACGGUCCAGACUCCUACGGGAGGCAGCAGUGGGGAAUAUUUGCACAAUGGGCGCAAGCCUGAUGCAGCCAUGCCGCGUGUAUGAAGAAGGCCUUCGGGUUGUAAAGUACUUUCAGCGGGGAGGAAGGGAGUAAAGUUAAUACCUUUGCUCAUUGACGUUACCCGCAGAAGAAGCACCGGCUAACUCCGUG
This 504-nucleotide ribosomal RNA is filed under the name uncultured bacterium. RNAcentral's name for it is "bacterial SSU rRNA". It matches the Rfam family "Bacterial small subunit ribosomal RNA", at positions 15 to 507 of the family's 1533-position model. The record is from RNAcentral.